CGUGUCAAUGCAGUUAGUAUCAAGUGAUUCAGUUUUUUGCCAUCUAAAAGAACAAAUCUCGAUCGGACCUUCCUCCGGUGGUGUUUUAAAGCUGCAGAGCUGCAGUUGGAACAGUUUGACCUGAACCAGGCACAGUUUGACAUCCUCAGCCGCUCCGCCUCCUAAAUGUUCCUCCGCACACGGCGUCGCAGACUAUUUAAGCUCCGCGUUCGGAAUAAUUAAUGCAGGAAAUGAUCACGGACUCUGGAAUGAUUAAUUUGGAGCUCUGACACACCGACGUGACUGAUCGUCUUUUAGCAGGUCGCCGGGCUUUUAACGCUCACGGCCGUUCAGGGAGCAUCCAUCACGGUGACCCUCACUGCUGCACGCCGAGCUGGGUUUGGGAGCGAUGUGCAGCAGAGUGGACCGACGGCAGACCUCCACACCGUCCAUCGAUGCAGCAGACGCACCGUUACACUCACAUUUCAUCAGAUUUAGCUCCUUUUUACCUCAACAGAUGCCGUCUGCCCUGUGCGGUCGCCGCGGUUACCCAGGGGCCCUGCUCGGCUGGAGGUUGUUGCCAUGGAGACGUGGGGGUCACCCGGAUCCCGGCUCAUCAUUGUUCAGGUGUGUGCAGAUGUCGGCCGUCUGUCGGAACCAGCUGCUCCUGAUGCCUCUUUUGUGGGGUCGGUCGGCCUUCUGUCGCAGCCUGGAGGUGCUUCAGGACUCAAACAUGCACAGAAAAAACAUCCAGACUGUACACAAAUACAUGAGAGGUCUGAGAAGCUGCUGAAAAAAUUAGAUUUAGCUCAUUUUACAGACAGAAAUGCUGCUUUUUGGCCAGUUACAAAACUUGUUUAUCGCAUUUUUACAAAAAAAAAUCUCAUGUCCAAACAUCUUCCACUUCUUCCUCAGUGAUCAAUAUUUUCUCCACAUCAGUAGUUCUAGUGUCUAACAGCGUUCCUGCGGGUCUCCACUGGGAUUUAGCUCCUCUGUCCAUCUCCUGCUCGCUGAGGCCCAAAAUUAUUCAUCCCCCAUUUCACAUUUUAAUUUAUAAUCGAUUUUUGUUCAAUCACCGAGUUUCUUCUGGUUAAAACUUGUAUAAACAAGUGACAAAAGACAAUAAACAACAUGUGUUGUUUUAGUUUUAAGUUUAAAAAACGCGUAUAAAUACAAAAAAAUGAUCACUUUAUUCACUUUUAAUGUCAUUUCUAGCCAGAAUUAACCUGUCUGUGACGUAAAAACUCACCGUAAAUCUAAACUUGGCACAGAUAAUCUAAAUUUUUAAAACAAAAUUUAAAAUUUUUGCCGUAUUUUACAAUAAUGCGCUGUAGAACAUCAGCAGGAGCAUUAAGAAUGACAUAAAAAUUGCGUUUUCUCAGAAGUUUAACAGUUGUCAGGUGUCUAAAUAAUUUUGGACGUGCCGUUUUAAUGUAAAAAUACUAAAAUUAAUCUCUAAAACGAUGCCUGGCUGAGUUUUGUUGCUUGUUUGUGUCGUUUCCAGACAGAAAAGAAACUUUUAGUCGAAUAAAAAUUCAGUGUAAAUCUAUAUUUGACACGACUGUGAAGAACUCGGAGCAGGAAGCCGUCACCAGAAAGGCUCUUUCAGGUGGAGGACAGAUAUCGGUUGGUUUGGUGUCUGACGGCUUUUUGGUUUUCAUGUUUGGACAUGAACACAGAGUUCAUUUCCACAGCUCAGACAACCUUUUCUGUAUCGCCGUCUGUCACCAGCACCUCGUUUCAUCUCCAGCGGUGUAAUUACUGCAAAGAAAAACACAUCAAAACACUCGCUGACCUUCCGACAGCCACAGGUCUGCUGGUCUGAGCUGCUCCUGUUGAAGAUAUCUGCUUUUAGUUCAACAGGAAGCAGAGCCAGACUGUUUGGAAACUUCAAAUUCACUUUCAUUUUUGCCCAAUACAGAUGAAUUUUGAUCUAGAUGGAAGCUUUACUUGAGCUACAAGUUCUUUUUUGGCUGGAAAUGACACACACAAGUGAUAAAAACACAGUAAAGCACUGUGUUAGAGACGCUAAUGUUGAAUUUUAAGUAUUUCUAUGUGGCUGUUUUCCUCUGUUUUACUAAAAUGUGCGUUAAAGGAGUGUCUUUCAGUUAAAAACAUGCAUUUCUGCAGUUUAACAGACGUAUGAAUAUCUCAUGAUCACAUUAGAUCAGUUAAAUUGAUGUUUUUGCUGCUUUAGACGCCUGAAUUUCAGAUCAAAACGUCACCAUAAGAGGAAAGUAGAGUCUAGAUUUUCACUACUUUGCAAAUUUAAGCCCCAAAAUUAUUCAUCCUCAUGUUAAAUUUAGAUUUCUCUUGGAUUUUUAUUUGACCAGCAGGUUGGAAAUGACACAAACAAGUGAUUAAAACUCGGUAAAACGCUGCAUUAGAGAUGCUAAUUUAGAAUUUUAACUUGUUUUUAUGUCGCUUUUUUUCUUCAGUUUCACUAAAAUACCAUGUCCAAAAAUACCAUGUCCCUUGAAAUUGUCACAAAUGUGCAUUGAAAGGUAAAAACACACAUUCAAAUGACCUGUUUCAUGUUGAUUUAAUGUGUAGUUUUAAUGUGAUAUAAACAGCAAACUCAGUAUUGUCCUAAAGUGGCUUUUAAAAGUUAGUUAAUAUUGGAAAGUAGAGUCUGAAUUUACACACUGUUGCACAUAAAAGCCCCAAAAUUAUUCCUCCUUAUGUCAAAUUUUGAUUUAAAGUGAAUUUUUAUUUGACCAACAGAUUGGAAAUGGCAUAAACAAGUGACAAAACGCAGUAUAACAUUGUGUUUUUGAUUAUAUUUUGUCCAGAAUUAUCGGAUUCUUGAGAAAAUGCAGCUUCUGUUCAGUUCAAAAUGUUCCAGAGCUGUGUAGUCGUGACUAUGAUGCAGGAAAAAAAAAGAUAAAUUCUGUGAAAAUCUCCAAAACUUGUUGAGAACUGGAGAGCAAAAGAAAGUUUUUCAACAACGUAUUGAAGUGUAUCAUCGGCGUACGUGGGAAAAAAAUCAAGUGCCAGCGAGAGAAAUGUCUAAAAAUCUUGAUACUCCUUGAAAUUGUUGCCAGUUUUUGGACAAAUGCAGCUUCUUCUCAUCAUUCAAGGGAAUUUCUGUCGUGUUCUAGAGCGAGAACAUUUGAUGCAGUUACAGAAAUUUAGCCUAGGAAUAAUUUGAGACUGAGGCUACGUUUUUACGAGGACCAUCUUAACAGAAAACGCAAAAGUGUCUUCACUUUUUAUUUCACGUGUAGACGAGUGGUUUUGAAGGAAAUCUGCGUAUAUACGGUGACUCUAUAGUGUGUGGAAUUUGAUUGGAUAUGCAUGCCAGGCAGCUAGGUGGCGCUGUGAUAAAACUCUAUGCGCAUGCGUACUAUCUCCCUUUUCGGAUCUCCGCCGCGGUAAAUGUCAGAUGGCGACUAGUAAGAAGAACUUUGUUUGGACAGACGAAGCGGUCGAACUACUGCUUCGAACCACUUUGGACUACAAAGCCACAAAAACCCAAAACGGAAUCUUUACUUCCUCGUACCGGCCGGCAGACCAAAGCACCGACGCACGUAUGUGACGUAAUCGUGUACGCGACGUGGUCAGGUCUCGGCAAAGUUUUUUUUUUCUGGCAAAGUUUUGCGUUUUGCUGUUUAGAUGGAAACGUAACGGCAGGGUUUUCAACUUUUCCACUCUGGAGGCCGGUUUCAAAUUUUUGCGUUUUUAAGCCCCCAAAACGCCGUCCUGGUAUAAACGAUAGGGUGUUUUGUUGAAAUAUUUUGAUGUUUUUACCUGCAAGCGUCCUCGUGUAAACAGGGCCUCAAUCAAUAUGAACAUAUUCUGUUCAUCCAAGACGACACUAUCGUUCAAAAUGUUUAUUAUAACACUGGAUUAAAUAAAUAAGAAGGGAGCACACCAGAAUCAUGUUCACUACGAUUUUAUUUGGAAUUAGUGUCCAUUCUACAAGCAAGACACGAGAAGAAAGAACAACGUAACCAUAGCAACAAGAAAGUUUUUGAAUCGCUCCACGUCCCUGAUUUGUCUUUAUUCAGCGUUCAACUCGAUCACACAGAGA
Acanthochromis polyacanthus (spiny chromis) is the source of this 4012-nucleotide long non-coding RNA. RefSeq lists it as uncharacterized. The record is from RefSeq and is a predicted model, not a curated record. The transcript is spliced from 4 exons. Lineage: Eukaryota; Metazoa; Chordata; Actinopteri; Pomacentridae.